Molecule: transfer RNA, 72 nt
Filed under: Candidatus Nomurabacteria bacterium
Lineage: Bacteria; Candidatus Nomuraibacteriota
Also listed under: 1 other name
Description: tRNA-Asn
Rfam family: tRNA
About the family: Transfer RNA (tRNA) molecules are approximately 80 nucleotides in length.
Source: RNAcentral
UCCGCGGUAGCUCAAUGGUAGAGCAGCUGGCUGUUAACCAGCGGGUUGCAGGUUCGAGUCCUGCCCGCGGAG